AGCCCAGAGUCUGAAUCAGCUUGUGUGUUAGUGGAAGCGUCUGGAAAGUCGCACGGUACAGGGUGACAGUCCCGUACACGAAAAUGCACAGGUUGUGAACUCGAAGAGUAGGGCGGGACACGUGGUAUCCUGUCUGAAUAUGGGGGGACCAUCCUCCAAGGCUAAAUACUCCUGACUGACCGAUAGUGAACCAGUACCGUGAGGGAAAGGCGAAAAGAACCCCGGCGAGGGGAGUGAAAAAGAACCUGAAACCGUGUACGUACAAGCAGUGGGAGCACCUUCGGGUGUGACUGCGUACCUUUUGUAUAAUGGGUCAGCGACUUAUAUUCUGUAGCAAGGUUAACCGUAUAGGGGAGCCGAAGGGAAACCGAGUCUUAACUGGGCGUUAAGUUGCAGGGUAUAGACCCGAAACCCGGUGAUCUAGCCAUGGGCAGGUUGAAGGUUGGGUAACACUAACUGGAGGACCGAACCGACUAAUGUUGAAAAAUUAGCGGAUGACUUGUGGCUGGGGGUGAAAGGCCAAUCAAACCGGGAGAUAGCUGGUUCUCCCCGAAAGCUAUUUAGGUAGCGCCUCGUGAACUCAUCUUCGGGGGUAGAGCACUGUUUCGGCUAGGGGGCCAUCCCGGCUUACCAACCCGAUGCAAACUACGAAUACCGAAGAAUGUUAUCACGGGAGACACACGGCGGGUGCUAACGUCCGUCGUGAAGAGGGAAACAACCCAGACCGCCAGCUAAGGUCCCAAAGUCAUGGUUAAGUGGGAAACGAUGUGGGAAGGCCCAGACAGCCAGGAUGUUGGCUUAGAAGCAGCCAUCAUUUAAAGAAAGCGUAAUAGCUCACUGGUCGAGUCGGCCUGCGCGGAAGAUGUAACGGGGCUAAACCAUGCACCGAAGCUGCGGCAGCGACACUAUGUGUUGUUGGGUAGGGGAGCGUUCUGUAAGCCGUUGAAGGUGGCCUGUGAGGGUUGCUGGAGGUAUCAGAAGUGCGAAUGCUGACAUAAGUAACGAUAAAGCGGGUGAAAAGCCCGCUCGCCGGAAGACCAAGGGUUCCUGUCCAACGUUAAUCGGGGCAGGGUGAGUCGACCCCUAAGGCGAGGCCGAAAGGCGUAGUCGAUGGGAAACAGGUUAAUAUUCCUGUACUUGGUGUUACUGCGAAGGGGGGACGGAGAAGGCUAUGUUAGCCGGGCGACGGUUGUCCCGGUUUAAGCAUGUAGGCGGAGGUUCCAGGUAAAUCCGGUACCUUUU
Molecule: ribosomal RNA, 1242 nt
Filed under: Enterobacter cloacae
Lineage: Bacteria; Pseudomonadati; Pseudomonadota; Gammaproteobacteria; Enterobacterales; Enterobacteriaceae
Description: partial 23S ribosomal RNA
Rfam family: Bacterial large subunit ribosomal RNA
Source: RNAcentral